AGUGAACGCUGGCGGCAGGCCUAAUACAUGCAAGUCGAACGGCAGCACAGCAGAGCUUGCUCUGUGGGUGGCGAGUGGCGGACGGGUGAGGAAUACGUGGGAAUCUGCCCAGUCGUGGGGGAUAACGUAGGGAAACUUACGCUAAUACCGCAUGCGCCCUUCGGGGGAAAGCCGGGGACCUUCGGGCCUGGCGCGAUUGGAUGAGCCCACGUCGGAUUAGCUAGUUGGCGGGUAAAGGCCCACCAAGGCGACGAUCCGUAGCUGGUCUGAGAGGAUGAUCAGCCACACUGGAACUGAGACACGGUCCAGACUCCUACGGGAGGCAGCAGUAGGGAAUAUUGGACAAUGGGCGCAAGCCUGAUCCAGCCAUGCCGCGUGAGUGAAGAAGGCCCUCGGGUUGUAAAGCUCUUUUGUCCGGAAGAAAAGCGCCGGGUUAAUACCCUGGUGUCCUGACGGUACCGGAAGAAUAAGCACCGGCUAACUUCGUGCCAGCAGCCGCGGUAAU
RNAcentral lists this ribosomal RNA (505 nucleotides) under uncultured bacterium. RNAcentral's name for it is "bacterial SSU rRNA". It matches the Rfam family "Bacterial small subunit ribosomal RNA", at positions 29 to 524 of the family's 1533-position model. The record is from RNAcentral.